AUUAUUCUUGGCAGAGCACAGUGACCUUGAAGAAGGUGGACUGGACCUGACUGUGUCAUUGAAACCAGUUAGUUUCUAUAUAUCAGACAAAAAAGAAAUGCUUCAGCAGUGCUUCUGUAUUAUAGGAGAGAAAAAGUUACAGAAGAUGCUUCCUGAUGUGUUAAAGAACUGUUCAAUAGAAGAAAUUAAAAAACUAUGCCAGGAACAGUUAGAGCUCCUGUCUGAAAAAAAAAUUUUGAAGAUUCUUGAGGGUGACAAUGGAAUGGACUCUGAUAUGGAAGAGGAAGCAGAUGAUGGUUCUAAGAUGGGAUCUGAUUUAGUCAGUCAUCAAUUUACUGCCUCAUCCUGCUGCUCAAGCACUGGGUUAGAUGAUUAGCAG
RNAcentral lists this non-coding RNA (379 nucleotides) under Pan troglodytes (chimpanzee). RNAcentral also lists the same sequence under 1 other name. Lineage: Eukaryota; Metazoa; Chordata; Mammalia; Primates; Hominidae. The record is from RNAcentral.